ACCCGCGGCUCGGGCUUUCGUCCACACAUUUAGCAUUGCUCGAUAGUUUUAUUCUAAAUCGAUAUAUUUCAUUCCAUCAAUCCGGCUCCAUCCGGUUCCAUCAAUCCUUGGAGCGGCUCGAUGCGAGCCUUCGAGCUGUCAGGAGCUUUUGUGUACAGUAAAUAUUA
Molecule: long non-coding RNA, 167 nt
Organism: Aricia agestis (brown argus)
Lineage: Eukaryota; Metazoa; Arthropoda; Insecta; Lepidoptera; Lycaenidae
Exons: 3
Source: RefSeq, a predicted model, not a curated record